Molecule: transfer RNA, 70 nt
Filed under: Dipodomys ordii (Ord's kangaroo rat)
Lineage: Eukaryota; Metazoa; Chordata; Mammalia; Rodentia; Heteromyidae
Rfam family: tRNA
About the family: Transfer RNA (tRNA) molecules are approximately 80 nucleotides in length. Their secondary structure includes four short double-helical elements and three loops (D, anti-codon, and T loops).
Source: Rfam by way of RNAcentral
GGGAAUGUGGCUUAGUGGUAGAGCGCUUGCCUAGCAUGCAUGAAGCCCUGGGUUCGAUUCCUUAGUACCA